GACGAAGCGAGCGAACGUUGUUCGGAAUCACUGGGCUUAAAGGGCGCGUAGGCGGGCUGUCAAGUCUGGGGUGAAAUCCCGCGGCUCAACCGUGGAACUGCCUUAGAUACUGACGGCCUCGAGGGAGGUAGGGGCGAGCGGAACUGUGAGUGGAGCGGUGAAAUGCGUUGAUAUUCACAGGAACUCCGGUGGCGAAGGCGGCUCGCUGGACCUUUUCUGACGCUGAGGCGCGAAAGCUAGGGGAGCAAACGGG
This 253-nucleotide ribosomal RNA is filed under the name uncultured bacterium. RNAcentral's name for it is "partial 16S ribosomal RNA". It matches the Rfam family "Bacterial small subunit ribosomal RNA", at positions 524 to 776 of the family's 1533-position model. The record is from RNAcentral.